Molecule: ribosomal RNA, 248 nt
Filed under: uncultured Muribaculaceae bacterium
Lineage: Bacteria; Pseudomonadati; Bacteroidota; Bacteroidia; Bacteroidales; Muribaculaceae
Description: partial 16S ribosomal RNA
Rfam family: Bacterial small subunit ribosomal RNA
Source: RNAcentral
UACGGAGGAUGCGAGCGUUAUCCGGAUUUAUUGGGUUUAAAGGGUGCGUAGGUGGCAUGGCAAGUCAGAAGUGAAAGGCCGGGGCUCAACCCCGACCUGCCGUUGAAACUGGCGUCCUUGAGUGGGCGAGAAGUAUGCGGAAUUCGUGGUGUAGCGGUGAAAUGCUUAGAUAUCACGAAGAACUCCGAUUGCGAAGGCAGCCUACCGGCUCCGGUCUGACGCUGAGGCACGAAAGCGUGGGUAUCGAA